CUGCUCUGCGGCGCGCGGUAAGGCUCUGCUCAUUCUUCAGGAUUUCACAUUGACUCGGAACCCAUUGGACAACUAGCCUGUGGCCGGCUUCGUACACCUUGCGGAUAUUCACCGAUCAAUAGGGUUGAGCCAGCCAUUACCGAAACAUCAGGUGGAGAGGGACCUUGGUAUGGGAAUACAUCCAAAAACGCCACACUCCACUGAGUUCCACUGCGCUUCCGACGACCGAAACAAACUACGUCCGUAACCCCUGGUGUGCACGCUCCCAUAUUUCACGCAUUACCAAUGCAUUUCAACGAAGAGAAAAGGAAAGAUAAAUUCACAACAGCUCAUAGGUUGAUUUAGUCUGCAGUGUGCUGCAGUGGGAAUUGUAGGAAGCACAACGCGUCGACUUCUCCCGCAACAUGGCCGGCGCAGCGCAGAAAUCAUUUCACGCAGUGGAGCUCUGUUUUACUGUGGAUUCGUUUGACGUCGGUUCCAGUGAAAUUUACUCGAGGGACAGGCCAUACUAGCUUUACUGCCUGUGACCCCAACAUUAGUGUGCACCCGCUGGAAGAUAAUUUCGUGAAACCUAACGUAGGUACA
Molecule: long non-coding RNA, 585 nt
Organism: Ornithodoros turicata
Lineage: Eukaryota; Metazoa; Arthropoda; Arachnida; Ixodida; Argasidae
Exons: 3
Source: RefSeq, a predicted model, not a curated record